AAUGUUAUGUUAAUGUUAUGAGUGGGGCACGGCAGGAUCGCUGAGGCGAAGCCGGUGGGCGGGGAUUUGGGCGGAGCUUUGGGCGGAGCUUUGAGCGGAGCUUUGGGCGGGGCUUUGGGCGGAGCUUUGGGCGGGGCUUUGGGCGGAGCUUUGGGCGGGGCUUUGGGUGGGGCUUUGGGCGGGGCUUUAGGCGGAGCUUUGAGCUGAGCUUAAGUCAGGGUCGCGUCACGGCCAUGCCGGGCCUGAGUCGGGCGUGGUAAAGUGGGAAGGAACGAGCGCCAUGGAGUUGCCGGCUCCGCGUGGCAGCAGCGUGAUGUCGCUGGUCCCCGUCGUGGUGCUCUUGGCUCUGUGCCCGCUCCUCGCCCGGGCAGAUGUCCCCAAGGAUGUGAAGCUGGACACGCUGAUGAGUGUUUGUGUCAUGGUGGCCCCAUUCGUCAUGGUGGCCAUCGUGGUGGUCAUCGGCGUGGUGAUGCGUGCCCACUGCCAGGGCCACUGCUGGGGGGCACAAAGGGGGUGCUGGGGGCAAAAAGGGGGUUCUGGGGGCACAAAGGGGGUGCUGGGGGCACAAAGGGGGUGCUGAAGGAGAUAAAGGUGAUGCUGAAGGGGACAAAGGGGGGUGCUGGGGGGGACAAAGGGGGUGCUGGGGGGCACAGAGGGGUGCUGGGGGGAUAAAGG
Molecule: long non-coding RNA, 675 nt
Filed under: Taeniopygia guttata (zebra finch)
Lineage: Eukaryota; Metazoa; Chordata; Aves; Passeriformes; Estrildidae
Description: lncRNA (ENSTGUG00000019304.1)
Source: RNAcentral